Molecule: long non-coding RNA, 289 nt
Filed under: Cyanistes caeruleus (blue tit)
Lineage: Eukaryota; Metazoa; Chordata; Aves; Passeriformes; Paridae
Description: lncRNA (ENSCCEG00000009334.1)
Source: RNAcentral
CUUAGUAGUCAUAUGUAAAAAGCCUGACAAAGCAUAGCUAGCAAAGGACAAGAUGCUGAUUAACAAAGGUCAACUGACUCAGACUUCCUUGGAAUGGAAAUGAGGAAGGGAUUUCAGGAUGGACCUUCAGUAAGGAGGUGAUCACUGCAGCACACAGUAUCAGUGGAACCUACUGGCCAAGGAAUACCCACCCAGCAGUACUGUUUCUGAGAGACCUGCUGUGAUGGUAAGCUACUCCCUUGGGGCAGAGCAUGGUGAUAUUUCCAGUUUGGAAUGCAGCAGAGCAGAG